Molecule: ribosomal RNA, 467 nt
Filed under: uncultured bacterium
Lineage: Bacteria
Description: partial 16S ribosomal RNA
Rfam family: Bacterial small subunit ribosomal RNA
Source: RNAcentral
GACGAACGCUGGCGGCGUGCUUAACACAUGCAAGUCGAACGGAAAGGCCCUGCUUUUGUGGGGUGCUCGAGUGGCGAACGGGUGAGUAACACGUGAGUAACCUGCCCUUGACUUUGGGAUAACUUCAGGAAACUGGGGCUAAUACCGGAUAGGAGCUCCUGCUGCAUGGUGGGGGUUGGAAAGUUUCGGCGGUUGGGGAUGGACUCGCGGCUUAUCAGCUUGUUGGUGGGGUAGUGGCUUACCAAGGCUUUGACGGGUAGCCGGCCUGAGAGGGUGACCGGCCACAUUGGGACGGAGAUACGGCCCAGACUCCUACGGGAGGCAGCAGUGGGGAAUAUUGCACAAUGGGCGGAAGCCGGAUGCAGCAACGCCGCGUGCGGGAUGACGGCCUUCGGGUUGUAAACCGCUUUCGCCUGUGACGAAGCGUGAGUGACGGUAAUGGGUAAGAAGCACCGGCUAACUACGUG